UACGUAGGUCGCAAGCGUUGUCCGGAAUUAUUGGGCGUAAAGCGCGCGCAGGCGAUCGUUUAAGUCUGAUGUGAAAGCACACGGUUCAACCGUGGAGGCUCAUUGGAAACUGGAGGACUUGAGUGCAGAAGAGGAAAGUGGAAUUCCAUGUGUAGCGGUGAAAUGCGUAGAGAUGUGGAGGAACACCAGUGGCGAAGGCGACUUUCUGGUCUGUAACUGACGCUGAGGCGCGAAAGCGUGGGGAGCAAACAGG
Molecule: unclassified non-coding RNA, 253 nt
Filed under: uncultured Caryophanaceae bacterium
Lineage: Bacteria; Bacillati; Bacillota; Bacilli; Caryophanales; Caryophanaceae
Description: uncultured Planococcaceae bacterium contains 16S-23S intergenic spacer region
Rfam family: Bacterial small subunit ribosomal RNA
Source: RNAcentral